Molecule: ribosomal RNA, 617 nt
Filed under: Curvibasidium nothofagi
Lineage: Eukaryota; Fungi; Basidiomycota; Microbotryomycetes
Description: eukaryotic LSU rRNA
Rfam family: Eukaryotic large subunit ribosomal RNA
Source: RNAcentral
AAUAAGCGGAGGAAAAGAAACUAACAAGGAUUCCCCUAGUAACGGCGAGUGAAGCGGGAAGAGCUCAAAUUUGUAAUCUGGCACUUUCAGUGUCCGAGUUGUAAUCUCGAGAAGUGUUUUCCGCGCCGGACCGCAUACAAGUCUGUUGGAAUACAGCGUCAUAGUGGUGAGAACCCCGUAACUGAUGCGGAUGCCCGGUGCUUUGUGAUACACUUUCGAAGAGUCGAGUUGUUUGGGAAUGCAGCUCAAAUUGGGUGGUAAAUUCCAUCUAAAGCUAAAUAUUGGCGAGAGACCGAUAGCGAACAAGUACCGUGAGGGAAAGAUGAAAAGCACUUUGGAAAGAGAGUUAACAGUACGUGAAAUUGUUGGAAGGGAAACGAUUGAAGUCAGACUUGUUAUCUGGAGUUCAGCCUUUCGGUGUACUCUCCAGUUUACAGGCCAGCAUCAGUUUUCGGGGCGGGAAAAUCGUAAUUAGAAGGUAGCAGCCUAGCUGUGUUAUAGCUUUUUACUGGAUUCCGCUUUGGGGACUGAGGAACGCAGUGUGCUUUUAGCAAUACCCUCGGGUAUUUCACACUUAGGAUGCUGGUGGAAUGGCUUUAAACGACCCGUCUUGAAAC